This 284-nucleotide unclassified non-coding RNA is filed under the name Basidiomycota sp. Its description in RNAcentral is "partial contains small subunit ribosomal RNA, internal transcribed spacer 1, and 5.8S ribosomal RNA". The stretch from base 1 to 47 matches the Rfam family "Eukaryotic small subunit ribosomal RNA", at positions 1785 to 1831 of the family's 1831-position model. Lineage: Eukaryota; Fungi; Basidiomycota. The record is from RNAcentral.
AAAGUCGUAACAAGGUUUCCGUAGGUGAACCUGCGGAAGGAUCAUUAUCGAAUUAUAAUCCGGCGAGGGGAAAGGGGGGAGCUGUCGCUGGCCUUUUACCGGGCAUGUGCACGCUCUCCUUGGAACCUUUGCCUUAUGGGCGUGGGGCGACCCGCGUCUUCAUAUACCCCUUCGUGUAGAAAGUCUUUGAAUGUUUAUAUUAUCAUCGAGCCGCGACUUCUAGGAGACGUGGUUCUUUGAGACAAAAGUUAUUACAACUUUCAGCAAUGGAUCUCUUGGCUCUC